GGUUAUUCCGUUAACGAACGAGACCUUAACCUGCUAACUAGUCUGUCUGUGAACAACAGAUUGUACUUCUUAGAGGGACUAUUGUGCAAGAAGCCAAUGGAAGUUUAAGGCAAUAACAGGUCUGUGAUGCCCCUAGACGUGCUCGGCCGCACGCGCGUUACAAUGACUGGCGCAGAAAGUAUUUCCUGUCCUGGGAAGGUACGGGUAAUCUUAUUAAUACCAGUCGUGUUAGGGAUAGUUCUUUGGAAUUUUGGAUCUUGAACGAGGAAUUUCUAGUAAGUGCAAGUCAUCAGCUUGCGUUGAUUAUGUCCCUGCCGUUUGUACACACCGCCCGUCGCUUGUAGUAACGAAUGGUCUGGUGAACCUUCUGGACUGCGGCAGCAAUGCUGCGGAAAAAUAAGUAAACCCUACCAUUUGGAACAACAAGAAGUCGUAACAAGGUAUCUGUAGGUGAACCUGCAGAUGGAUCAUUA
RNAcentral lists this ribosomal RNA (473 nucleotides) under Tetrahymena sp. BOLD:AAO5060. RNAcentral describes it as "SSU rRNA". It matches the Rfam family "Eukaryotic small subunit ribosomal RNA", at positions 1318 to 1831 of the family's 1831-position model. The record is from RNAcentral. Lineage: Eukaryota; Ciliophora; Oligohymenophorea; Hymenostomatida; Tetrahymenidae.